Molecule: ribosomal RNA, 111 nt
Filed under: Caerostris extrusa
Lineage: Eukaryota; Metazoa; Arthropoda; Arachnida; Araneae; Araneidae
Source: RNAcentral
ACGGCCAGACCAUGCUGAAUAUACCGGUUCUCGUUAGAUCACCGAAGUCAAGCAUCAUUGGGCGCGGUCAGUAAUUGGGUGGGCGACCACCUGGGAACACCACGUGCCGUU